RNAcentral lists this ribosomal RNA (253 nucleotides) under uncultured bacterium. RNAcentral describes it as "partial 16S ribosomal RNA". It matches the Rfam family "Bacterial small subunit ribosomal RNA", at positions 524 to 776 of the family's 1533-position model. The record is from RNAcentral.
UACGAAGGGGGCAAGCGUUGUUCGGAAUUACUGGGCGUAAAGGGCGCGCAGGCGGCCUGCCAAGUCAGAUGUGAAAGCCCCGGGCUCAACCUGGGAAUGGCAUUUGGGACUGGCGGGCUAGAGAUCGGGAGAGGAGAGUGGAAUUCCCAGUGUAGAGGUGAAAUUCGUAGAUAUUGGGAAGAACACCGGUGGCGAAGGCGGCUCUCUGGACCGAUACUGACGCUGAGGCGCGAAAGCGUGGGGAGCAAACAGG